This 28-nucleotide small RNA is filed under the name Bombyx mori (domestic silkworm). RNAcentral's name for it is "ovarian small RNA-36062". The record is from RNAcentral. Lineage: Eukaryota; Metazoa; Arthropoda; Insecta; Lepidoptera; Bombycidae.
UGUUAUGGGAAAAUUUGGUCACGGAAAU